AUGAUGUUGCAGCCUAAGAAGGGGAUGACGUUCGAUAGUGAGGAUGCUGUUGUUAACUUCUACAAAGAUUAUGCCAAAAAAGAGGGAUUUGGUGUAAUAAGAAGAACCACUAGACAUGGAGAAGAUAGCAAGCUUGUUUAUUUUACUCUUGCUUGUAACAGGCAAGGGAAGGCUCAAUAUUCAUCCAAGAACUCAUUUAAACCUAAUCCAUCAACGAGGAUGCAAUGCCCAGCUAAGAUUAAUUUAUCUCGUCGUGAGGAGAAGUUCUGCAUUACAUCUAUUACGCUUGACCACAAUCAUCCUAUAAGUCCAAGUAAAGCCAGAUUUCUGAGAUGUCACAAGAAACUGGACUUGCAUGCCAAGAGAAGGCUGGAAUUGAAUGAUCAAGCAGGAAUCCGUCUGAAUAAAAAAUUUGGUUCUCUUAAGCUGGUGGGUAUGUUAAUCUUGAGUUCGGUGAAAAGGAGUGCAGGAACUAUUUGCAAGAGACAAGAAGGCUGA
RNAcentral lists this ribosomal RNA (498 nucleotides) under Triticum aestivum (bread wheat). Its description in RNAcentral is "partial small subunit ribosomal RNA". The record is from RNAcentral. Lineage: Eukaryota; Viridiplantae; Streptophyta; Magnoliopsida; Poales; Poaceae.